UAUAUAAGACGUUGCUUCGUACCAAAUUUCAAGAUUCUGAGUUCACGGGAAAGUACCUUGUAGCUCCAAGGGACAGUAGACCUGAGUAUUUGAUAUAAGUUCCAGCUUGAUACCUCCACGCGUUCCUAAGAAAAAGGGUCUUGACAGACAGACAGACGGACGGACAACAAAGUGAUCCUAUAAGGGUUCCGUUUUUUC
Long non-coding RNA from Cydia strobilella, 198 nucleotides. RefSeq lists it as uncharacterized. The transcript is spliced from 2 exons. The record is from RefSeq and is a predicted model, not a curated record. Lineage: Eukaryota; Metazoa; Arthropoda; Insecta; Lepidoptera; Tortricidae.